This is a long non-coding RNA of Meleagris gallopavo (turkey), 3102 nucleotides long. RefSeq lists it as uncharacterized. The record is from RefSeq and is a predicted model, not a curated record. NCBI's taxonomy places the organism in Eukaryota, Metazoa, Chordata, Aves, Galliformes, Phasianidae.
UUUAGAUAUUAUAAUGUCUUUAAUUUCUUAGGCAAUGAGCUUAUCCAUACAAGGCUGAAUGCUACGCUACAGGAGGAGUUCUGAACCACCUCCUGUAAGUGGUUCUGAAGUCAAAAACCUACUUCACUGAACGUGAAGCUGAAGGGAAACCGAAGAACGUAGAUUAGGAUUUCAGCUUAAUGUGGGAAACUAUGGCAAGGAAUAUCCAAUUAUUGUAAGGAAAGGAGUGUGCCACACUUUAAAAAUCCAGAAAGAGGAUGAAACCAAGCUUGCAUAAGCCCGUGUACAACACACAGAUGAUUUGAGAAGGAUGCCUCAGAAUGUAAUGGCAUAACUUGACUAAAGGCAGAGUGCUUGUUCUGUGAUAUCUGGAUUUGAUGAUGGAAGAGUUACAAGAAAGAAGAAUGACUUUCUCCCUCUGUAUCAACAUAACAAUAUUCAGCUAUUCCAUGCUGUCCUGAGGAUUUCCUGGAAAACGUGAGAGAAAUUAAACGCUGAUGUUGUAGACUUUGUGCAGUAGCACAGCUCUGGAGAAUGCUAAGAAGAAAUCCUCUGUGUGUUCUCCUGAAUCAUAAAGGCUGGUGAGAAUGAGAAGCCUAACUCAUCAUUAAUCCACAGGCAAAGUACUAUUCAAGCAGCUGUAGUGAAAGCUCUCGUAUGCUGCCCUGGAAAUAACCCCAGCCUUGACGUGGUAAAAUGACCCUAGGACUCAAAAUGAACUUUUGUAAUAGAAUCAAGGACAUGGAAAUAACAAAAACUGCAGACACAAUCGACUUGCAGUGUUCAGUAAGGUUCUUCUGCUGGGAGAAAAAUUGAGACUUCAUAGAAACCAUGACCCCGAGCCGUUUGAAUCAGGUAAUGUCACAUCUAACUUGCAAUACUGAGUGCUAGCUCCCAUAAAUAUUGUUCCUGCUAUUUAAAUACUGCUGCACUCUUCACUCUACAGAACCUGGCCCCGUGCAAAACCUUUUAGACUUAAUCGUCUCUUUGCUUCAGGGCCUAACCUCAAGUUCAUAAAAUAUUUGUAGCUGUCAGCUACAAAACUGCACAGAUGCAGAAAGCCUAUCUGAUGUAGUGUUAGUAAGAAUAAUUUUAGAGUUGCAAAUAUUUAGCAGAUUUUUAACAGAUACAUAUAUAUACACUUAAAUAUGCGAAUGCAUAUAUAUCAGACAAAGUAUACAUGAGAAUAUCUAUGAUUGCUUUGAUGAUGGCACAUCCAAACUGGGUUGUUAGCAAUGAAAAAUGUCUUUAGCAUACCAAGACAGUACUUGAAAAUUCAGUUUGUGAUACUCAGUCUUGUUUCAUAUUGGAGGUAGCUGAUGAGACAUGUCAUUUUAACACCUUAUUACUGCUUUGUUAUAAUUCUGCCAAGCCUUGGUUCUUUGCUCUCAAAAACUGCAGAACAAAAUAUCUGCCCUGGCCUCCAGAUCUGUCUUUUGUAUUUUUUUUAGCUAACUGGAAAAGUGAAGCUACCUAGGAGCUAACACAGCUUUAUUGGAAGACUGUGGUUAUGAUCACAAAAUGCGUGAGGUUUGGUUCUUGGUAUGUGUUGUGUUGCUGUGUUCUGCACUUGGCUACUUGCUGUGCUAUUCAGCAGUGCCCAUCCAGUGCCUGGAGGACAGGGGGAAAUAAGGAAGAGCCUGGCUUGGAACUUGGGAGUACUGUAUUAAAUGUGAGAAAGAGAGGCCAAGUCAUGAAUUGUGCCUGUAGUUAGCCUGUGUGAAGCACUGCCUAAGUGCAGAAUACUGUUGGUCCUUCGCUGCAGAAAACAAAUUCUGGUAUGUUGUGCUGCAGAUAAACCCUCAAGGAUCAACACUGUUGUUCUCAGGAUUUGAAUAGUGUACAAUAAAUAAGGCCUGAGGUCACAUAAUGAACGUCAUGAAGGGAAAUAAAACAUGGAAUAGCUGACGGCAUGCGUUCUGAGUACUGCGUGAGGAAAGAGUCUGUGAGGAAUGGUGUGUUAUCAAGUGACUGCAGUCAGUGCCUCAGUUCAGAAGCACGGAAAAGAUAGUGUCAGUUGGCAUUUCUUAACUGACAAUUACAACUGACAGUUUUAAUGUAUAAUUAUGUAGUUAGCCUUCAUAGGACCUCAGCUCUUCUGAUUCUGGCCUUUCCAAAAAUCGGCUCAUGUGCAGUGUGCCACUGCCCAGUGUUACAGUAUGCUGGUUGGAACAGGCUGUCAUGUAUGUUGUGUGUGCAGAAAUGAUCUUAGUAAUAACAGGUAUUAGAUUCAGGCAUUUCUGCUUCCGUAGAGUUUUUUUCCUUCAUUAUGAGACAAGCUGGUGGAGUUCAGGGCCAUGAUUUACAUACUCAGGACUUUGCCAUACACUGAGGCUGCAGCUUUCUCAAAUGCUGCUAUGGGGCAACUUGGCUUUAGAAGCACCAAUAUUUUCUUUUUCAUUUUGAAGAGAUGGUUUCUGACAAACAGUUCCACUGAAAGUGUUGAUGCAGUGGCACAGGCUGUGCAGGGGGAGGUGGCGCAGUCACCAUCCCUGGAAGUGUUCAAGAACCAUGGAGAUGUGGCACUGAGGGAUGUGGUCAGUGCGGGUGGUGGAUUGGAUGUGGUCUUCAGGGGUUCCAACCCUAAUGAUUUUGUGAUUCUAUGAGUAUAGACAGGCUUUCAAGCAUUUGUUCUGAAAGCUUCUGGGUAGCAAUGGUCUGCUUGUUUGUGCUAGGUGAAGGCCAACCGCGGCUCAUUUGAGUCGCUCGUGACAGCUUCACAUGAGCACAGAAAGUAGAUUUUAUACAGAAUGUCCAACAGAACAGUGGGAUUUCAGUUUGGACAUUUCUGCAUUAAGCAUGUCCGGUUACAUGGGAUAAUCCUCAUCCUGGGGAAAUUCAGUCAUCUUUUUGAGUUCUGCUGCAGUGCAGGAAUGCGGGAGCACCUUAUCCCCUUGGAUAUUUGUUUACGAAUAAAAAGCAUCCGUAAAGCUUUUCGCUCGCUUCCCCCCUUGGGGAUACCCCCGCUCGUGCCUGUUCGUAGCUUCUCAUCGCUGAGCCUCAACGGCGUCACGUCUGCUAGGCGAACGUAUGGGACAGGAGAGCUCCCGGCGGGAUUUGCGCGGGGAAGGCCGCUGGGAGGGGGUUAGGGUUUCCACCUGG